RNAcentral lists this transfer RNA (76 nucleotides) under Candidatus Solibacter usitatus. RNAcentral describes it as "tRNA-Ala". It matches the Rfam family "tRNA". Rfam says of the family: Transfer RNA (tRNA) molecules are approximately 80 nucleotides in length. Lineage: Bacteria; Pseudomonadati; Acidobacteriota; Terriglobia; Bryobacterales; Solibacteraceae. The record is from RNAcentral. RNAcentral also lists the same sequence under 8 other names.
GGGCCUGUGGCGCAGUUGGGAGCGCGCUUCCAUGGCAUGGAAGAGGUCGAGAGUUCGAAUCUCUCCAGGUCCACCA